GGAAAGGUAUCGAAGUGGUCAUAACGAGCCGCACUCGAAAUGCGGUUGUCGGGCAACUGGCACAUGGGUUCGAAUCCCAUCCUUUCCGCCA
RNAcentral lists this transfer RNA (91 nucleotides) under Clostridiales bacterium. RNAcentral describes it as "tRNA-Ser". It matches the Rfam family "tRNA". Rfam says of the family: Transfer RNA (tRNA) molecules are approximately 80 nucleotides in length. Their secondary structure includes four short double-helical elements and three loops (D, anti-codon, and T loops). The record is from RNAcentral. Lineage: Bacteria; Bacillati; Bacillota; Clostridia; Eubacteriales.